This 328-nucleotide unclassified non-coding RNA is filed under the name plant metagenome. Its description in RNAcentral is "partial contains 5.8S ribosomal RNA, internal transcribed spacer 2, and large subunit ribosomal RNA". The stretch from base 1 to 104 matches the Rfam family "5.8S ribosomal RNA", at positions 50 to 154 of the family's 154-position model. The record is from RNAcentral.
GAAAUGCGAUACGUAGUGUGAAUUGCAGAAUUCCGUGAAUCAUCGAUUUUUGAACGCAUAUUGCGGUCGAGGCUUCGGCCAAGACCAUGUCUGCCUCAGCGUCGGAGUAAACCCUCACCCUCACUCGUAAGAGUAAAGGUGGAGCUGGUCUCCCCAGCGUUCGCGCUGGGUUGGCUGAAAUCCAGAGGUACGCGCACGGACCUGUAUGGCACCAGCAAGGUAGGUAGCUCGUCUACUCCAGCUGAUGCUUUGGGCCCGCUGCCGCACCCGCAGGAAACCCACUCCCUAUCGACCUGAGAUCAGGCAAGGCUACCCGCUGAACUUAAGC